This 2923-nucleotide ribosomal RNA is filed under the name Klebsiella pneumoniae. RNAcentral's name for it is "23S ribosomal RNA". It matches the Rfam family "Bacterial large subunit ribosomal RNA". The record is from RNAcentral. Lineage: Bacteria; Pseudomonadati; Pseudomonadota; Gammaproteobacteria; Enterobacterales; Enterobacteriaceae.
GGGUUGUGAGGUUAAGCGACUAAGCGUACACGGUGGAUGCCCUGGCAGUCAGAGGCGAUGAAGGACGUGCUAAUCUGCGAAAAGCGUCGGUAAGGUGAUAUGAACCGUUAUAGCCGGCGAUGUCCGAAUGGGGAAACCCAGUGCAAUUCGUUGCACUAUCGUUAACUGAAUACAUAGGUUAACGAGGCGAACCGGGGGAACUGAAACAUCUAAGUACCCCGAGGAAAAGAAAUCAACCGAGAUUCCCCCAGUAGCGGCGAGCGAACGGGGAGCAGCCCAGAGUCUGAAUCAGCUUGUGUGUUAGUGGAACGGUCUGGAAAGUCCGACGGUACAGGGUGAUAGUCCCGUACACCAAAAUGCACAGGUUGUGAACUCGAAGAGUAGGGCGGGACACGUGGUAUCCUGUCUGAAUAUGGGGGGACCAUCCUCCAAGGCUAAAUACUCCUGACUGACCGAUAGUGAACCAGUACCGUGAGGGAAAGGCGAAAAGAACCCCGGCGAGGGGAGUGAAAAAGAACCUGAAACCGUGUACGUACAAGCAGUGGGAGCACCUUCGGGUGUGACUGCGUACCUUUUGUAUAAUGGGUCAGCGACUUAUAUUCUGUAGCAAGGUUAACCGUAUAGGGGAGCCGCAGGGAAACCGAGUCUUAACUGGGCGUUAAGUUGCAGGGUAUAGACCCGAAACCCGGUGAUCUAGCCAUGGGCAGGUUGAAGGUUGGGUAACACUAACUGGAGGACCGAACCGACUAAUGUUGAAAAAUUAGCGGAUGACUUGUGGCUGGGGGUGAAAGGCCAAUCAAACCGGGAGAUAGCUGGUUCUCCCCGAAAGCUAUUUAGGUAGCGCCUCGUGAACUCAUCUUCGGGGGUAGAGCACUGUUUCGGCUAGGGGGUCAUCCCGACUUACCAACCCGAUGCAAACUACGAAUACCGAAGAAUGUUAUCACGGGAGACACACGGCGGGUGCUAACGUCCGUCGUGAAGAGGGAAACAACCCAGACCGCCAGCUAAGGUCCCAAAGUCAUGGUUAAGUGGGAAACGAUGUGGGAAGGCACAGACAGCCAGGAUGUUGGCUUAGAAGCAGCCAUCAUUUAAAGAAAGCGUAAUAGCUCACUGGUCGAGUCGGCCUGCGCGGAAGAUGUAACGGGGCUAAACCAUGCACCGAAGCUGCGGCAGCGACACUAUGUGUUGUUGGGUAGGGGAGCGUUCUGUAAGCCUGCGAAGGUGUGCUGUGAGGCAUGCUGGAGGUAUCAGAAGUGCGAAUGCUGACAUAAGUAACGAUAAAGCGGGUGAAAAGCCCGCUCGCCGGAAGACCAAGGGUUCCUGUCCAACGUUAAUCGGGGCAGGGUGAGUCGACCCCUAAGGCGAGGCCGAAAGGCGUAGUCGAUGGGAAACAGGUUAAUAUUCCUGUACUUGGUGUUACUGCGAAGGGGGGACGGAGAAGGCUAUGUUAGCCGGGCGACGGUUGUCCCGGUUUAAGCAUGUAGGCUGGUUAUCCAGGCAAAUCCGGAUAAUCAAGGCUGAGGUGUGAUGACGAGGCACUACGGUGCUGAAGUAACAAAUGCCCUGCUUCCAGGAAAAGCCUCUAAGCAUCAGGUAACAUCAAAUCGUACCCCAAACCGACACAGGUGGUCAGGUAGAGAAUACCAAGGCGCUUGAGAGAACUCGGGUGAAGGAACUAGGCAAAAUGGUGCCGUAACUUCGGGAGAAGGCACGCUGGUGUGUAGGUGAAGCCCCUGCGGGUGGAGCUGAGACCAGUCGAAGAUACCAGCUGGCUGCAACUGUUUAUUAAAAACACAGCACUGUGCAAACACGAAAGUGGACGUAUACGGUGUGACGCCUGCCCGGUGCCGGAAGGUUAAUUGAUGGGGUUAUCCGUAAGGAGAAGCUCUUGAUCGAAGCCCCGGUAAACGGCGGCCGUAACUAUAACGGUCCUAAGGUAGCGAAAUUCCUUGUCGGGUAAGUUCCGACCUGCACGAAUGGCGUAAUGAUGGCCAGGCUGUCUCCACCCGAGACUCAGUGAAAUUGAACUCGCUGUGAAGAUGCAGUGUACCCGCGGCAAGACGGAAAGACCCCGUGAACCUUUACUAUAGCUUGACACUGAACAUUGAGCCUUGAUGUGUAGGAUAGGUGGGAGGCUUUGAAGCGUGGACGCCAGUCUGCGUGGAGCCAACCUUGAAAUACCACCCUUUAAUGUUUGAUGUUCUAACGUUGGCCCCUGACCGGGGUUGCGGACAGUGUCUGGUGGGUAGUUUGACUGGGGCGGUCUCCUCCCAAAGCGUAACGGAGGAGCACGAAGGUUAGCUAAUCCUGGUCGGACAUCAGGAGGUUAGUGCAAUGGCAUAAGCUAGCUUGACUGCGAGCGUGACGGCGCGAGCAGGUGCGAAAGCAGGUCAUAGUGAUCCGGUGGUUCUGAAUGGAAGGGCCAUCGCUCAACGGAUAAAAGGUACUCCGGGGAUAACAGGCUGAUACCGCCCAAGAGUUCAUAUCGACGGCGGUGUUUGGCACCUCGAUGUCGGCUCAUCACAUCCUGGGGCUGAAGUAGGUCCCAAGGGUAUGGCUGUUCGCCAUUUAAAGUGGUACGCGAGCUGGGUUUAGAACGUCGUGAGACAGUUCGGUCCCUAUCUGCCGUGGGCGCUGGAGAAUUGAGGGGGGCUGCUCCUAGUACGAGAGGACCGGAGUGGACGCAUCACUGGUGUUCGGGUUGUCAUGCCAAUGGCACUGCCCGGUAGCUAAAUGCGGAAGAGAUAAGUGCUGAAAGCAUCUAAGCACGAAACUUGCCCCGAGAUGAGUUCUCCCUGAGACUUUAAGUCUCCUGAAGGAACGUUGAAGACGACGACGUUGAUAGGCCGGGUGUGUAAGCGCAGCGAUGCGUUGAGCUAACCGGUACUAAUGAACCGUGAGGCUUAACCUUACAACGCCGAAG